AAGUCGUAACAAGGUUUCCGUAGGUGAACCUGCGGAAGGAUCAUUGGAAGUGUGAGGGGGUGGAGAGAGAGUUGGAACGAGAAUAAUAAGCGUAUUUUCAUACAUUAUAAAACACACAACUGCUGACAAUGGAUCUCUGGGCUCUU
RNAcentral lists this unclassified non-coding RNA (146 nucleotides) under fungal sp. Its description in RNAcentral is "partial internal transcribed spacer region". The stretch from base 1 to 46 matches the Rfam family "Eukaryotic small subunit ribosomal RNA", at positions 1786 to 1831 of the family's 1831-position model. Lineage: Eukaryota; Fungi. The record is from RNAcentral.